RNAcentral lists this long non-coding RNA (461 nucleotides) under Pongo abelii (Sumatran orangutan). Its description in RNAcentral is "lincRNA". The record is from RNAcentral. Lineage: Eukaryota; Metazoa; Chordata; Mammalia; Primates; Hominidae.
GUGACUCCUUCGAGCCUUCCAGAAAGCAUGUGAGAAGGAAGCCCUACUCUACUACCAAGGUGACUUCAGGGAGCACAUUCAAGGAGGUUUUAAGAAGAUACGCCGUGUACACCAUCCAGCAUCGGAGGCAUCAUGACUCCUGGGUAAAGAAGAAGAUGUACCCACAAGAAGAUGACUUCCAUCAUACAGUUUUCAGCAACCUUGAAAGACUGGACAAGCUUCAGCCCACUCUUGAAGCCUCUGAGGAGUCUCUAGUUCACAAGGACAGAGGAGAUGGAGAGAGGCCGGUCAAUGCGAGGGUGGUGCAGGUGGCCCCUCUGAGGUGUGAAUCUACUCGCUGUUGACUACUGGCUUAAAGGGAGCUCCCGGGGUGAGUGACAGAGGCGGGAUUGGACCCUGGCAGUCUGACGGCAACACCUGUGUUCCUCUGCAAUGGGCCAUGGACAACAUUACACACCUUU